Molecule: ribosomal RNA, 253 nt
Filed under: uncultured bacterium
Lineage: Bacteria
Description: partial 16S ribosomal RNA
Rfam family: Bacterial small subunit ribosomal RNA
Source: RNAcentral
UACAGAGGGGGCAAGCGUUAUUCGGAAUUAUUGGGCGUAAAGGGCGCGUAGGCGGCUUGGCAAGUGGAAGGUGAAAUCCCUCGGCUUAACCGAGGAACUGCCCUCCAAACUGCUUCGCUUGAGACCGGGAGAGGUGAGUGGAAUUCCCAGUGUAGCGGUGAAAUGCGUAGAUAUUGGAAGGAACACCAGUGGCGAAGGCGGCUCACUGGACCGGUACUGACGCUGAUGCGCGAAAGCGUGGGGAGCAAACAGG